Molecule: ribosomal RNA, 739 nt
Filed under: uncultured bacterium
Lineage: Bacteria
Description: bacterial SSU rRNA
Rfam family: Bacterial small subunit ribosomal RNA
Source: RNAcentral
AGAGUUUGAUCAUGGCUCAGAACGAACGUUGGCGGCGUGGAUUAGGCAUGCAAGUCGAACGAGAAAGUGGCCUUCGGGCCGCGAGUAAAGUGGCGAACGGGUGAGUAUCGCGUGGAGAACCUGCCUGGAAGUGCGGAAUAACCUUUCUAACGGGGGGCUAAUACCGCAUGUGAAGAUAGUGUCGCAUGGCACUUUCUUUAAAGGUGGCCUCUGUUUCAAGCUAUCGCUUCCAGAUGGCUCCGCGUCCUAUUAGCUUGUUGGUGGGGUAACGGCUCACCAAGGCUUCGAUGGGUAGCCGGCCUGAGAGGGUGUCCGGCCACACUGGGACUGAGAUACGGCCCAGACUCCUACGGGAGGCAGCAGUCGAGAGGCAUCGGCAAUGGGGGAAACCCUGACCGUGCGACGCCGCGUGGGGGAUGAAGGCCUUCGGGUUGUAAACUCCUGUCAGUUGGGAAGAACGGCUAUCCGGUUAAUAUCCGGGUAGUUUGACGGUACCAGCAGAGGAAGCUCCGGCUAACUCCGUGCCAGCAGCCGCGGUAAUACGGGGGGAGCAAACGUUGUUCGGAUUAACUGGGCGUAAAGGGGAAGUAGGCGGCUUGGUCAGUGAGACGUGAAAAGCUUCGGCCCAACCGAAGACCUGCGUUUCAUACUGCCAAGCUUGAGUCCGGGAGGGGAGACGGGAAUUCCUGGUGUAGCGGUGAAGUGCGCAGAUAUCAGGAAGAACACCGGUGGCGAAGGC